This 492-nucleotide ribosomal RNA is filed under the name uncultured bacterium. RNAcentral describes it as "partial 16S ribosomal RNA". It matches the Rfam family "Bacterial small subunit ribosomal RNA", at positions 29 to 507 of the family's 1533-position model. The record is from RNAcentral.
AGUGAACGCUGGCGGUAGGCCUAACACAUGCAAGUCGAACGGCAGCACAGUAAGAGCUUGCUCUUACGGGUGGCGAGUGGCGGACGGGUGAGGAAUACAUCGGAAUCUACUUUUUUGUGGGGGAUAACGUAAGGAAACUUACGCUAAAAACGCCUACGGACUACGGGUUAAAGCAGGGGGUAUUCGGACCUUGCGCGGUUGAAUGAGCCGAUGUCGGAUUAGCUAGUUGGCGGGGUAAAGGCCCACCAAGGCGACGAUCCGUAGCUGGUCUGAGAGGAUGAUCAGCCACACUGGAACUGAGACACGGUCCAGACUCCUACGGGAGGCAGCAGUGGGGAAUAUUGGACAAUGGGCGCAAGCCUGAUCCAGCCAUACCGCGUGGGUGAAGAAGGCCUUCGGGUUGUAAAGCCCUUUUGUUGGGAAAGAAAAGCAGCAGGUUAAUACCCCGCUGUUCUGACGGUACCCAAAGAAUAAGCACCGGCUAACUUCGUG